UGAGGAAUAUUGGUCAAUGGGCGAGAGCCUGAACCAGCCAAGUAGCGUGCAGGAUGACGGCCCUCCGGGUUGUAAACUGCUUUUAGUUGGGAAUAAAAAAAGGGACGUGUCCCUUCUUGUAUGUACCUUCAGAAAAAGGACCGGCUAAUUCCGUGCCAGCAGCCGCGGUAAUACGGAAGGUCCAGGCGUUAUCCGGAUUUAUUGGGUUUAAAGGGAGCGUAGGCGGAUUGUUAAGUCAGCGGUUAAAGGGUGUGGCUCAACCAUGCAUUGCCGUUGAAACUGGCGAUCUUGAGUGCAGACAGGGAUGCCGGAAUUCGUGGUGUAGCGGUGAAAUGCUUAGAUAUCACGAAGAACUCCGAUCGCGAAGGCAGGUGUCCGGGCUGCAACUGACGCUGAGGCUCGAAAGUGUGGGUAUCAAACAGG
This 423-nucleotide ribosomal RNA is filed under the name uncultured bacterium. RNAcentral's name for it is "partial 16S ribosomal RNA". It matches the Rfam family "Bacterial small subunit ribosomal RNA", at positions 355 to 776 of the family's 1533-position model. The record is from RNAcentral. RNAcentral also lists the same sequence under 1 other name.